UGAACCUUCAGCCGCGGCGGCCCCAAGAAAGUCCUUCCGUGUUUACGCGGGGGGGCAUGGGCGCCGUCCGAGGAAAGUCCGGGCUCCGCGGGGCAUGAUGCCGGGUAACGCCCGGGCGGAAGGUACGGAUCGGACAAGGGGGUUUACCCUUAAGGACGAUAUCCCAUCUUCCGACAGACAGCGCAACAGAAAACAAACCGUGAAAGGGGGGCUAUGGCCCUCCCCACAAGGGUGAAACGGCGGGGUAAGAGCCCACCGCGGCGCCGGUAACGGCGCCGGUCUGGCAAGCCUCAUCAGGAGUAAAAUCAAGCGGCGCCACAAAAGUCCGGCUUUUGUGCCAAUUGCCCGUUGGUUAAGCGCAGGUAGAUUGCCGGGGGUAUCCCCGGAGACCGUCCGCAAGGCCGGUCCAAGACAGAUGGCUGAAAGGGCCGCCGCCGGCGGUCCUGAUAACAGAACCCGGCUUAUGGUUCAUCGU
Molecule: RNase P RNA, 475 nt
Filed under: Treponema sp.
Lineage: Bacteria; Pseudomonadati; Spirochaetota; Spirochaetia; Treponematales; Treponemataceae
Description: RNase P RNA component class A
Rfam family: Bacterial RNase P class A
About the family: Ribonuclease P (RNase P) is a ubiquitous endoribonuclease, found in archaea, bacteria and eukarya as well as chloroplasts and mitochondria.
Source: RNAcentral